Oryza rufipogon (brownbeard rice) is the source of this 199-nucleotide microRNA precursor. It matches the Rfam family "MIR812 microRNA precursor family". The record is from Rfam. Lineage: Eukaryota; Viridiplantae; Streptophyta; Magnoliopsida; Poales; Poaceae.
UUUAAGUGCAACUAUGUGUUUCCGCGCUCAACUUUGAUCAUCUGUCUUAUUUGAAAUUUUUUAUAAUUGUAUUUUUUAUAAGAUGAUAAAAUAUAAAUAGUAUUUUACUCGUGACUUACGCUUUAAAUUUUUUAAAAUUUUUUUAAAUAAGACAGACGAUGAAAGUUAAACGCGAAAAAAAAUCAUGCCUACGCUUGAA